Molecule: ribosomal RNA, 305 nt
Filed under: uncultured bacterium
Lineage: Bacteria
Description: bacterial SSU rRNA
Rfam family: Bacterial small subunit ribosomal RNA
Source: RNAcentral
CCUACGGGACGCAGCAGUGCGGCCUCGUCGUCCCUUUGCUUCCGCCUGCCCCAGCCAAGUCGCGUGAGGGAAGACUGCCCUAUGGGUUGUAAACCUCUUUUGUCAGGGAGCAACGCCGGCUACGUGUAGCCGGACUGAGAGUACCUGAAGAAAAAGCAUCGGCUAACUCCGUGCCAGCAGCCGCGGUAAUACGGAGGAUGCGAGCGUUAUCCGGAUUUAUUGGGUUUAAAGGGUGCGUAGGCGGAAUGCAAAGUCAGCGGUAAAAUCGCGGGGCUCAACCUCGCUCCGCCGUUGAAACUGGCGUU